GUUCUAGGGGAGACAAGGAGCAACUUAUGUUAUUUUUUUUUCAUAUUAAGCUCAUUUCUUUAUGAUAUGAGGAGGACAAUGAUUCCAAUAAAAUGUCAGCAUUAAAAGAGGCUAAUAAAUGCAAUAAACCUUCUGGUGAGCCAGGAAUAUCUGCUCCCAGAAAGUGAUUUUUCCAAAGAUUGAGGAUAGACUGGGGGAAUGAAGAAAAAUAGGGAGAAACCAUGAAUGACCAUUAGAACCAGCUUGACUGGAAAGGAAAGCAAAGAAAGAGAGAUGAAAGGCUGAGUGGAGACAGACUUUUUCUUCCUGUGGGGGGCAUGUCAUGUCAUUUGUUUUUGUGAUACUAGGAAUUGGAAUUCAGACCCUUGCACAUACUAGACAAAUGCUCUACCACUGAGCCACACCCAUGGCCAUCUUCCUUUCUUCUUUUUUCCUUUCUGGUCCUACUGUGAAUUGAGAUUCCAUUAAAGGUGAUGGAUCAAGGUCCCAAAGAAGCAUAAGAAGUAGAACCUGGUAAGUUUAGUGGGAAACUGGAAUAGAAUGAGCAAACUGUGUGCUUUGGGGAGGGACUCCAAUGCACAAGUUCAGCAGCUGAGGCCUCUUGCUCAGGCAGUGACUGUGUCCUCGGAAGGGCCUUUGUCUGAGGACCAUGGUGCACCCUGAAGUUAGGACUGAAGCCACCUGGGGAAAGGAAGAUCUGGGUGCUCAAACAGAGAUAUAAAUACUCAAAAAGUUGUGAAGGCUUGACUUGACUGCAUUAUCUGUCCCAGUAGCAUUCAUCUAAGACACAUGAAAGAAUUGUCGACUGGGACGAAGGGCUCCGUGGGAGGUGAAAACAAAUUCACAUUUGUAGGCCACCAUCAUCUGAAGUGAAAUAGUUCUUUCCAAAGCGUCUCAGUGGAAAAGCUAAGGGAUCCAACGCAUGCUCCACACAGGUGCUUAGGGAAUGGAGCUCAGCAGGGACUCUGAUGACAGAAGCACUAAUAAUGUAGGGUUCUCACGUCAAGGUCGCACAAUCUUCUUUGCUCAAGCUUCGGCACACGCAGAUGUAGGUAUUGCUGUGAGGAAGGCAGUAGUGUAUGCUACUAAGGUUCACUGUGUUCAUGGUUACUAUGGCUCGAUGUGACUUGUCCAUACCAAGGGACUCAAAUGUUGAAGGCUUGGUCCCCAGCUAGUAGAUCCCAUCACUGAGACAGAGUUGAAUCAUGAGAACUGGCUAAUCCAUCAAUGAGUGCACAGUGAAUGAACUCUUAGGAGGUAGGGCCUGCUUGCAGUUAAGUAUGUCCCCAGGGAUAUGCCUGGCUCCUUCCUAGCAGUGCCCUCUUCACAGCCUGGCUACCUCACAGGAACAGCCUGCCUAGCCACUUGCAGUGUCUACCCCCAUAGUCUGCCUCCCCCCAGGCUCAUAGACAUAGAGCAAGUGAACCAUGGGCUGAAAACUCUGGCAGUGUGAGUCAAAACAAAUCUUUCCUACUUUAAGUUGUCAAUGAAAUGUUUAACUCAGCAACUGUUAUUACUAAUUGACCAGCUAAAAGUUCAUUAGAAUUUAAAUGUGCAACUUCUUUUACAGGCUUAUUGAAAAUUGUUUGAAGUGGCAUUUCAAAUGUCCCACCUCAACUACUGAUCUCUCUGCCUUUCCUGCCUCAGUCAAUGGCGUCAAUACUUAGCCAGUUGUUCAAGCAGAAUGUAACUAUCCUCAUUUUUUCUUUUUCACUCUCCUCUUCUCAUCCAACUUCCAAUCCAUCAGCCAUGCUUGCUUCUUGGACAAAGGACAUACUUUUCUCAAUCUAAUCACUUUGUACAUUACCAAAUAUCUAAUCCAAAUCUCAGAAAAAUUUCUGUGAAAAUCCAAUAUUUGCUCUCUGGGCCAUAGCGUGUCAGCUCCUGCUCCAGUCCAAGCUCUUUUCAUCUCUCACCCUUACCAUUUGCAUGCUCUCCUAAAAGUAGAUUUCCUUUCUCUAGUCUUUGUUGUCCAAUGGGACAUUCUUUCCACUGCAGUCCCUUUGAAGCAACAACCAAAUUCUGUUGCUUAUAAUCCUAAAACACAUGGCACACCACUAAAAUCAGAACAGCCCCAGCUCCUGGUUUUCCAGUGACCUUGUCUCAACUGUCAUCUCCCACUUCGUUUCCCACCGCCAUCCAUCUCUUCACAAGCCUUUCUGCUCACAAUGACCACUUUGCAAUCCUUUGAAUUCCUAAGCUUUGCAUCUCUUCAAGUCUUACCUAUUAUGGUUCUUUCUUCUUGAGAUUACCCUGUCAUGGUAGAUGAACCCUCAUUUCUACCACCACUACAGAUGAGUCUAUUCUGAUCUAACCAACAGAAACACUUCUUUAUAUCCUCAUUCAUCCCAACUCUCUGUAAUAUAUAUAUGAAGGAAGAACUGGACCCAUUUGUUGAUGUAUAAUGACUCUAACAGUUCUGGUAGGUACUCGGAACAAUAUUUGUUGAUGGAACAGAGAAUGAUUGGAUGGAUAAAAAUGAUGAAUAGUAAAUGAUUUGAGGAUAAGAUCCAAUUCCAAAGGCCUCUCUAUCCUUUUAUAAUUCUUCCAUAUUUAGUUGUCAAUAAAUCUUUGAAAGCCUUCUUAAAGAUCUAUGGGGCAACGUUGAACACUAUAAAAUUUUAAUCAAGAAAAAUGGUUCAUGCUAGUAACCUAAAUGCCAGUUCCCUUUCUCUGCAGCAUCAUUUGCAUAUCAUAAUUCAGCGAAAAACUGCUUCUGACUUGGAGACAGUCUAUCCUGUAUAAGGCUGAAAGGCUAGGGUUCUUUUUACCCUGAUCAUUAGGACUGCACAGAAUCAAGAGUACAACCAGGUCAGAGGGAUCUAGAGUUAGACUAGCUUUAAGCCCUGACUGGCUACUUCUUACAUGGUGACCUUAGACAUAACACUGAAGCUCUCUUAAACUGAAUUUUAUCAUGUACAGUUUGACUACAAAAAUUAAUAGUUUCCUGUAUAUAAAAGGUUUAUCUCUAAAGAUACUGUUUUUCAAGUGAUUUUUUUUCCCACUUUACCCAGUAAAGACUGGCUUCUAACUUUUAAAUUCAACAUUUAUAGUCUCAUACUUACCUAUGGAAAUAUACCAGAGAUAUAUUCAAGCACAAACUGCCUAAAUUUGAGAAGUGGGAAAAGCAUUCACAUUACUUGGAAAGUUACACUUUUUUUUUAUACCAGAUCUAAUGUUCCAAAUGUUCUCCAAGGAUUCUCUUAAUUCAGCUGGAGGCUUCUCCAGAGUAAUACAAUUAGCUUCUCGUUGACAGAACUCUUUUUCUUUGAUCUCCUGUGCUCAUUCUUCCAAAAGCAACUCGAUUGCUUCUCCUGAUUAAUUUCUCACUGUAUAUGUACUUAAUAGAAUUGAAAACCAGCAAGUCGCCAUAUAAGGUGACAUCAGAUGAGCUAUUAAAAUAACAUUCUUUUUCAAGGACAGGAUUUGGUCUACCUAAGCCAACCUCAUCUGAGUGUAAAAUAGGAAGGAACCCAUGAACAAACACCAAGCUGCCCUCAAAGGCAAUUUGCAGCACAUCCUCACUAAUGAUGAUGUAGUGUCCUGAAUCCGGGCAUUUACUUAACUUUACUAAAACUUGAGAGUUACACAGUCCUUCAGAGUUGUCCCAGGGUGUGAGUGUGUGGAAACCUUUCUUCUCCCACAUGUACUGGACACUAGAUGAGAACAAUUAGUCAGUGGGCAAGGUAGAAGACAAAUCCUAGUGGCAGACUCCCUGAGAAAAGCAGGUGCUAGAUGCUAGAGAGGAAAGAGGAGGGGAACGUGUGCUCACUGGGAUGAAGCACUUCAGCGUCGUCACCUCACAUAUUCUCUCCCACAGAAGCUACCCAGGCUGUUUCUUAUGAAACUAUCUUCAGCUCUUUCCCACCAUGGCUCAACUUGCCAUAAAACACCGAAAGUCCUAGAGGGCAGAUUCAUUUCCAGAGACACAACAUAGGGGACAUCUUACAAACGAAGAGUGGUUGCAACUUAGCUUUUCUACUUUUGUGUUCAAACCCGAAAGUCUCCUCAUAGGAUCACGUUUGGAAGUUAUUGUACCGCUCAGCAACAGCCUCCCGUUGAAUUAAGAAAAUUCUUGGAGGACCUUUGGAAUAUCAAACAGCAGGUGGCGCUGUUCUAAGAGGCUGUGCCGCUUUCAGGGGUGGGAUCUAGGCUGGCGGAAGUUGGAAAGCAGAAGGACUUGGAGAGUCGUUCCUGGACCUACUUCCACUUUCAUACCUGGCUUCAUGGUCAACCGUAAUAUAUCAUCAGAGACAGACACAGAAGAAGCUUUUAACAGAUGCUUAUUGGAAGAGAGAAAAAAAUGAAGAAACAAAAGUUCUGUCACGUUUUUCAAGCAUGAUGCCGCGUGUAAUCCCAGCUUCCAUUUCUCUCUUCUUGGAUGUGGAUAACAAGAGCCUCAGCUGGUAACAAAGAAAAACCCAGGAACAGCUGAACUGCCAGAGGCUGACCCCACCAACCCCCACCACGGUCAUUCCCUGAACCAAGUCUGAGAUGCUGGCGACCCAGUGGCUGACACUUGUCCUCGGGGUUUCAGAAACAGUUUCACAACAUGCUACCUUACCCUAGGAAGGAAGCAGCAUUCAUUGCUUUCAUUCCUUCGUGGGGCUCUUAGCUGCUCUUUUCUUUGAUCAGCUGGUACAGGAAAUAGUGUACGGUUUCUUAGGCACAGCCAACUCUCUCUCGCCACACCCAGACAAUGUUCUAAAGUUUUUAUUGGAUCUGAGUGUGCCAACCUUGUGCUGUGGAAUUAAGCGAGGGUUGCUAAAUAUCAUUCAUCUUGCAACAUCAGAUGUCAUUCUCUGUGUAUGUGUCCUGUCUCCCUAGACUAUGAGCAGGGGAGACAGGGUCUCUGUGUUAAUGACGACAGUGACAUCUUCAGAAAUAAUAAUGGAUAAGUUAAUCUUAGCUGCUCCUAACAUAUGCUAUGCCACUUGCAGAAACAGUAAUCUAGCAGAGUUCUACCCACAUCGGAGUCUCUUCUGUAUAUUACCCCCAGCAUCCUAAUAGAUAAAAUUGAGGGGACAAGAUAAGUGAGAGCCUUCCAAAUGGUGGCAGCUUUCUCUGCUGUGAAAAUUGGAAAGAAUUCUCAAUCCUAAAAAUAUUUAGUGGGGUGCUCACUAUGUCUGUUUUGUUCUACAAGAAUCAUAGAUGUAUUAAAACCUCAAAUCUGGAAUGGAGGCCUGCAGAGGCCAUGGGCAAACUGGUCCUACCUAGAUAAAGAGGACUUCAAAACAUGAAGAACAGUGAAGAUUUCUCCACGUUCAGAAUCAAAAGUACCUAUCACAGCCUUCCUGUAAGCAUACUACAUACUAAACACCAUUCAGGUGCACAAUCUACAUUGCUCCAUUUAGCCUCAGCUACGGUGUCAAGGAUAAGAUACUAUUUCAUCUGUUUCCUACAUCAACAAGCAAGGUUCUAGCUAAGCAUGGUGGCACAUGGCCUGUAAUUUCCGCUCCCGGGAGCCUAAGAUAAGGGGAUCCAGUGUUCAAAGCCAACUUGGGCUACAUAGCAAGACCCUGUCUUGCAUAUCUUUAAAAUAAACAAACAAACAAAUAAACAAAUAAAUAAGGUUCUUUGAAGGAAAGUGGCUUGGCUAGGUGCUGGGUUGGCUGAGGGAUCUCAUGGGACAUCUCAUGUGACAUCACAUGUCCUCCUGUCACCUGCUAUCCACACAUCACUUCUGUGAUAUGCUCAUGAGCCCAGAUGCCACCUCUACAAAAGAACCUCAUUAAUUACUCCAUUAAAUUUUGUUCUUUACUCAUAAAUAUUUUCUUUACAUUCUGACAAAGGAACAAUAAUUAGUUCUGCUCUAGUCACAGAACAAAAGGAAGUCAUCAGUGUCUCAUUUUCUAGUGUGUACAAAGCUUUGCUAUAUGACAUGCUAUCUCAUACAUGUCCAGGUAUUAAUGCCACACUGAAAAACCAUUAAUAUUGCUAUUCCUGCUUAGAGAGAUGAAGACAUUAACACAUCCAGAUCAUUAGCUGUUCGGUCUUAGGUACUCUAUGAGAUUGGAGGGGAGAGAGAACAAUUGUUAUCUUAAGCCUAUUUUAAAUGGUAAAUGUAAACUUUGCUUUUUCUCCAGAUGCUUCCUUGCAUCUAUUUUUUUUUUAAUUUGAAAAAACCCCAGAUCUAUCUCUUUCUCUGGCAAACAGAACUAGUGCUACUCACACUAGGUUCUGCUGGACUGAGGACCCCCAAGGGUUCCCAAAGUCCUCUAUGGUAUAACCGCAGCUGGUCAUCUUGCACCGAGUAGCUGCUGAACUGACUUGGGACACAUUUCAGUGCUUACGCUGCCAUUAUGGUCAAAGGUCAGCCUUCCAAAUGAGUGCUGACUGGCAGGAAGAGCAGAAGUUCUGAAGAAAAUGCUGUGUGCCUUUGAACCUCAGAUCUCAUCCAGGAUUGAGUCACAGUGAACAGUGGAGAGUCUCAAGAGUUUUGUUUGCUACAAAAACAAAUAGGAAAGGGAAGAGAACAAAGGAACCAGUC
This 6490-nucleotide small RNA is filed under the name Rattus norvegicus (Norway rat). RNAcentral describes it as "uncharacterized LOC108352565". Lineage: Eukaryota; Metazoa; Chordata; Mammalia; Rodentia; Muridae. The record is from RNAcentral.